Molecule: long non-coding RNA, 238 nt
Organism: Stegostoma tigrinum
Lineage: Eukaryota; Metazoa; Chordata; Chondrichthyes; Orectolobiformes; Stegostomatidae
Exons: 3
Source: RefSeq, a predicted model, not a curated record
AGGCAAAGAUGAAAAUUCAGCAAGAAACAGAAGCAUAGGUCUAAACUUCUGCAUGACACGCCCGAUUCACUGUACUAUAACCGAACAGCUUCUUGUUUGCUCUGGGGAAGAGGGCAUCGCUGGCUAGGCAGCAUUUAUUGCCCAUCCCUAAUUGCCCAGAGGACAGUUAAGAGUCAACCACAUUGCUGUGAAUCUGGAGUCACAUGUACACCAGACCAGGUGGCAGAGGACACAUGGG